RNAcentral lists this ribosomal RNA (195 nucleotides) under uncultured bacterium. RNAcentral's name for it is "partial 16S ribosomal RNA". The record is from RNAcentral.
GGAUGCCCUCCGUCGUCACCCCUUAUAACCUGUUACCCCCCUUGGGACUAGGUCGGUACGGCGCACACACUUCUUCCGGAAUACCAACAUUUCGUGAAAUUCGCUCCUCCUCCGAGAAAACCAAUUAUGGGUUCUACUCACCUGCAAUGAGCGUCUUAUUCGUGGCCGAUUGAGACACGGUCGUCGGCGCCAUUA